CAGUAGCCGCGGUAAUACGGAGGGUGCAAGCGUUAAUCGGAAUUACUGGGCGUAAAGCGCACGCAGGCGGUCUGACAAGUCAGAUGUGAAAUCCCCGGGCUUAACCUGGGAACUGCAUUUGAAACUGUCAGGCUGGAGUCUUGUAGAGGGGGGUAGAAUUCCAGGUGUAGCGGUGAAAUGCGUAGAGAUCUGGAGGAAUACCGGUGGCGAAGGCGGCCCCCUGGACAAAGACUGACGCUCAGGUGCGAAAGCGUGGGGAGCAAACAGGAUUAGAUACCCCGGUAGUCCCUGUCUCUUAUAU
This 301-nucleotide ribosomal RNA is filed under the name uncultured bacterium. Its description in RNAcentral is "partial 16S ribosomal RNA". It matches the Rfam family "Bacterial small subunit ribosomal RNA", at positions 509 to 809 of the family's 1533-position model. The record is from RNAcentral.